UUUGAGGGGAAUGUUGUUUGGCUCGAAGACUGCUUAAAGUUACAAUCUUUCUUCAAAUUUUUCAUCAAAAUUUCUAGAAAAUUAAAUUUUGCCUUCGGACCAGGCUUCAUUCCCCUCAAU
Molecule: microRNA precursor, 120 nt
Filed under: Beta vulgaris subsp. vulgaris (sugar beet)
Lineage: Eukaryota; Viridiplantae; Streptophyta; Magnoliopsida; Caryophyllales; Amaranthaceae
Description: pre miRNA mir-166
Rfam family: mir-166 microRNA precursor family
About the family: This family represents the plant microRNA (miRNA) precursor mir-166.
Source: Rfam by way of RNAcentral